UUUCCCUUCGGGGCUGGUAUACAGGUGGUGCAUGGUUGUCGUCAGCUCGUGUCGUGAGAUGUUGGGUUAAGUCCCGCAACGAGCGCAACCCUCGUUCUAUGUUGCCAGCACGUAAUGGUGGGGACUCAUAGGAGACUGCCGGGGUCAACUCGGAGGAAGGUGGGGAUGACGUCAAAUCAUCAUGCCCCUUAUGUCUUGGGCUUCACGCAUGCUACAAUGGCCGGUACAAAGGGUUGCGAUACUGUGAGGUUGAGCUAAUCCCAAAAAGCCGGUCUCAGUUCGGAUUGGGGUCUGCAACUCGACCCCAUGAAGUCGGAGUCGCUAGUAAUCGCAGAUCAGCAACGCUGCGGUGAAUACGUUCCCGGGCCUUGUACACACCGCCCGUCAAGUCACGAAAGUUGGUAACACCCGAAGCCGAUGGCCUAACCCCUUGUGGGAGGGAGUCGUCGAAG
Molecule: ribosomal RNA, 452 nt
Filed under: Rothia nasimurium
Lineage: Bacteria; Bacillati; Actinomycetota; Actinomycetes; Micrococcales; Micrococcaceae
Description: bacterial SSU rRNA
Rfam family: Bacterial small subunit ribosomal RNA
Source: RNAcentral